CAAUAGCGUAUAUUAAAGUUGUUGCGGUUAAAAAGCUCGUAGUUGGAUCUCGGCAGGCAGGGGGUGGUUCGCUCUUAGCGCUACUGCCCCAUUUGCCUGUGUGAUUGGCGGAGGUUUCGGGGUGCUCUUCGUUGAGUGACCCGGGGCGCCGUCAGGUUUACUUUGAAAAAAUUAGAGUGCUCAAAGCAGGCUUUUCACGCUUGAAUAUUCGUGCAAGGAAUAAUGGAAUAGGAACUCGUUUCUAUUUUGUUGGUUUUCGGAAAUCGAGUUAAUGAUUAAUAGGGACAAUUGGGGGCAUUAGUAUUCAGACGACAGAGGUGAAAUUCUUGGACCGUCUGAAGACUAACUACUGCGAAAGCAUUUGCCAAGAGUGUUUUCAUUAA
RNAcentral lists this ribosomal RNA (383 nucleotides) under uncultured eukaryote. RNAcentral's name for it is "partial 18S ribosomal RNA". It matches the Rfam family "Eukaryotic small subunit ribosomal RNA", at positions 592 to 976 of the family's 1831-position model. The record is from RNAcentral.